AGAGUUUGAUCCUGGCUCAGGAUGAACGCUGGCGGCGUGCCUAAUACAUGCAAGUCGAACGCACUGAUUUUAUCAGUGAGUGGCGAACGGGUGAGUAAUACAUAAGUAACCUGCCCUCAUGAGGGGGAUAACUAUUAGAAAUGAUAGCUAAGACCGCAUAGGUGAAGGGGUCGCAUGACCGCUUCAUUAAAUAUCCGUAUGGAUAGCAGGAGGAUGGACUUAUGGCGCAUUAG
This 233-nucleotide ribosomal RNA is filed under the name uncultured bacterium. Its description in RNAcentral is "partial 16S ribosomal RNA". It matches the Rfam family "Bacterial small subunit ribosomal RNA", at positions 8 to 244 of the family's 1533-position model. The record is from RNAcentral.